CCUACGGGAGGCUGCAGUGGGGAAUAUUGGACAAUGGGCGAAAGCCUGAUCCAGCCAUGCCGCGUGUGUGAAGAAGGCCUUCGGGUUGUAAAGCACUUUCAGUGGGGAAGAAAGCCUUGGGGCUACUACCCUCGAGGAAGGACAUCACCCACAGAAGAAGCACCGGCUAACUCCGUGCCAGCAGCCGCGGUAAUCCGGAGGGUGCGAGCGUUAAUCGGAAUUACUGGGCGUAAAGCGCGCGUAGGCGGUCUGAUAAGCCGGUUGUGAAAGCCCCGGGCUCAACCUGGGAACGGCAUCCGGAACUGUCAGGCUAGAGUGCAGGAGAGGAAGGUAGAAUUCCCGGUGUAGCGGUGAAAUGCGUAGAGAUCGGGAGGAAUACCAGUGGCGAAGGCGGCCUUCUGGACUGACACUGACGCUGAGGUGCGAAAGCGUGGGUAGCAAACAGGAUUAGAUACCCGGGUAGUC
Molecule: ribosomal RNA, 465 nt
Filed under: Vreelandella stevensii
Lineage: Bacteria; Pseudomonadati; Pseudomonadota; Gammaproteobacteria; Oceanospirillales; Halomonadaceae
Description: partial 16S ribosomal RNA
Rfam family: Bacterial small subunit ribosomal RNA
Source: RNAcentral